GAUGAACGCUGGCGGCGUGCCUAAUACAUGCAAGUCGAGCGAACAGAUAAGGAGCUUGCUCCUUUGACGUUAGCGGCGGACGGGUGAGUAACACGUGGGUAACCUACCUAUAAGACUGGGAUAACUUCGGGAAACCGGAGCUAAUACCGGAUAACAUUUGGAACCGCAUGGUUCUAAAGUGAAAGAUGGUUUUGCUAUCACUUAUAGAUGGACCCGCGCCGUAUUAGCUAGUUGGUAAGGUAACGGCUUACCAAGGCAACGAUACGUAGCCGACCUGAGAGGAGGGUCGGCCACACUGGAACGGAAACGCGGUCCAGACUCCUACGGGAGGCAGCAGUAGGGAAUCUUCCGCAAUGGGCGAGAGCCUGGCGGAACAACGCCGCGUGAGUGAUAAAGGGUUUCGGCUCGUAAAACUCUGUUAUUAGGGAAGAACAAAUGUGUAAGUAACUGUGCACGUCUUGACGGUACCUAAUCAGAAAGCCACGGCUAACUACGUG
This 497-nucleotide ribosomal RNA is filed under the name uncultured bacterium. RNAcentral describes it as "partial 16S ribosomal RNA". It matches the Rfam family "Bacterial small subunit ribosomal RNA", at positions 28 to 507 of the family's 1533-position model. The record is from RNAcentral.